GGUGUGUGACACAAAAUAAUUCAUUCCAAUAAAUUUUGGACCCAAAAAUGGCAAGAAAAUCUAGAUAAACGAAAGAAGGAGUUUACUUUUUUCAUACGAGUAAGAGAUGAAGGAGAAAUAAAAAAGGAAAACAAAAGAUGAGGAAAAAAUAAGAGAAGAUUAACGAAAAUAAUGAAAUAAAGAACUUGAUUUUUUAAGCAAUUUCAAAUCAAAUUAAAAUUUGAGUUGAUUGAAGAUGAAGGAAAGAGAAGUUAAGGUUUUGAAAUUGGGAUAUAAGGGUUGGUUUUCUUAUUUAGGGAAAGCAUAUGACCGUUUUUAAAAAUAAAUUAAUUUCGGGUUACGUUAAGCAUUCAACACGUCUUGUUUGGGCAUGUUUACACACGCAGUAGUCUGAGCCACCAAAAAAGCAAAAUAAUACACUUUAAAGUUUAUAACGGGGGAAAAUAAUUAUCAGUUAAUUAAGUGGUAAAGUAAGUCGUGGUAACAAGUUUAGGGGG
RNAcentral lists this long non-coding RNA (497 nucleotides) under Capsicum annuum. Its description in RNAcentral is "long non-coding RNA (CANN_LNC014604)". Lineage: Eukaryota; Viridiplantae; Streptophyta; Magnoliopsida; Solanales; Solanaceae. The record is from RNAcentral.